CUCUCUCUCUCUCUGUUACCACCAACAUUAUAUAUAAUAUAUAUAAAGAGAGAAUGUUCUAUAUAUAGUUUGCAAUAGCUAUGGACACUAUUCUAAAGGCAGAGACCUAACCGCUAAUCCCUCCUGCGACCCUCCAAAUUGAUCAGCCUUUUCAUACUGGCCAUAGGAGGAAUUAUCGGCCAGUUAAAACGCUAAUCCUUCUGCGGCCAGUAUGAAAAGUCCUACGGCUAAGAUGGAGAAGUCUUGCCGCCAGUAUUUGAGGGCAUAUUUGUACUUCACUUAGCCAUAUGAGGGAGUUGCACUGGCCGCAAGAGUGGCUAGCUGUUGAGCUCCUGCCUUGUUCAUUUUAGUCCCAUUCUAGUCCCUCAGAUCUUACAUUAGACGACAGAUAAGCUACUUAAAAUAAUGCUCAUAACUAUAGCUAAUGCAAGCUAUGAAACAUUCUCCUCUCUC
Molecule: long non-coding RNA, 453 nt
Filed under: Panax ginseng (ginseng)
Lineage: Eukaryota; Viridiplantae; Streptophyta; Magnoliopsida; Apiales; Araliaceae
Description: long non-coding RNA (PGIN_LNC005761)
Source: RNAcentral